AUGGACACGGACGCACAACUCCGCUUUAAUUGCCGCAAGCGCUGCCUACCGGCUGACGGUCGCCUCGACGACCACUGGCGCGGCCAGCAGCGCAAGCGCCGCGGCGUCCGCGUCCUCGUUCCCGACUGCUUCCUCGUGCCCCCGCCGGAAGCCAAAUCCGCUGAUUUCGACAUGUGGGACUACAUCCGCAGCAUCCCGGACAUGUGGGACAACGGCCUGAGGCUGCUUAAGGACUGGGUCCGUGCGUCCAAGGAUGUGCCGCAGGAUCCGCCGGAUCUCACGUAUCUCACCAAGAACAACGAUGUGAAGCCAGGGCGCCUGGUGGGGAGUUGGAAAAUAGAGAACUCCAGGAAGGUCGCCUUGAAGGCGGUGAAACCGCGUUGGAAGGAUCUCCUCGAGGAGACGAGACAUAAUGACAAGAGGUUGCGCGAGAUCGGCGACGAGGUGGCCUUUCUGGAGAAGACGCUUGAGGAGCAGAGGAAGCUGGCUGAGCCGCCUAAGGAGGAUCUGUCUCAAUUCUUUGUACCUCUAACUGCUGAAGAUGAAAAGGAAGUUCAGGAUUGUUUGUAUGGUAAUGGUUCAAGUAGCAAAGUCCUGGUGCUGCAUGAACCGUCUAACAUUGAGGUUAGCAGGGAAAAAUUUCGGUGUUUGAGACCACAUGGUUGGUUAAAUGAUGAGGUCAUUAAUUUGUACCUUGAAUUGUUAAAGGAGAGGGGAAUAAGAGAACCAAAAAGGUUCUUGAAAUGCCAUUUCUUCAAUACAUUUUUUUAUAAGAAGCUUGCUUGUGGAAAAACUGGAUAUGACUACAAAUCUGUAAAAAGAUGGACUACCUCCAGGAAGUUGGGUUAUGAGCUCAUUGAAUGUGAUAAAAUCUUUGUCCCCGUACAUCAAAAUGUGCAUUGGUGUUUGGCAGUUAUAAACAUAAAGGCGAAGACAGUACAAUAUCUUGAUUCUCUUGGCGGCAAUGAUCUUCGUGUAUACGAAAUGCUGGCUAGAUAUAUUGUAGAUGAAGUGAAGGACAAGAGUAAUAAAGAGAUUGACAUAAGUUCUGGGACCAAAGAAUCUAUUGAUUGUAUUCCUUUACAAGAGAAUGGGUUUGAUUGUGGUAUGUUUAUGCUCAAGUACAUUGAUUUCCUCAGCAGAGGAGUCAGCUUAUCUUUUGGUCAGGAACACAUGGAAUACUUUCGGAGGAGAACAGCUAAGGAAAUCUUAAGACUAAGGGCUGACUAA
Molecule: ribosomal RNA, 1230 nt
Filed under: Triticum aestivum (bread wheat)
Lineage: Eukaryota; Viridiplantae; Streptophyta; Magnoliopsida; Poales; Poaceae
Description: partial small subunit ribosomal RNA
Source: RNAcentral